AUGUACAGUUGGGAUAGCUUAAUGGACAUAGGAUCCUGCACUAAUCUGCCUGGUAUCACUGCCUCCUGCACAAUGCUUUCACAAUGCGGACACAGAGCAGCUCCUGUGGUGGGCACAGGAGCCAACCAUGCAAGAAAUGAAAAGCAAAGACUGUACAGUAUGUUACUGUUACUGAAUGCAAAUGCAGCACGGAUGUUAGCAACACAAAACUAAAUCAGUCUGGCAAGAGGAAAGCCAGCCCUGGACUUGCAUCAGCGGCGCUGAUCUGUGGGUUCCAAGUGUGGCAUCACUGCAGAGCAGGUUGGACGAGGCUCCCUGACCUCCUCUACUUGGCAGGCUUUCUUUUGCAUUUUUGGCUGAGAGACAAACUAAACUGCCCUCCCCAGGCCCUCCAACUGGUCCCAGUACAUCCCGGUGCAGGUGUGCUGGCGGGCAAGGUGAGGAGAGAUUUAAUCACUCCAGCAUAUGGGUAAGUACAGGACAAUCCACACGGUGUGUUUCACCAGCAUGACAUAAAAAUGAGGAGAGUGGGGAGAAACAGCUGCAGUGAUGCAAAGGCUGUCUGUAGCUACAAAAUGGGCAGAUAAGAGUAUCUUUUUUGUAGAAAAACAGGCAGUGUAACAGCUCUGGAGCGUGGAUCCCAAUAGAGCACCUAUUUUUCAGGCUGUUUGUAUUUUGGGCUCAGACAUAGUUCCAUUCCAGAGACAGCAUAUCCACAAAGGAUUUCCAGCUUCUGUCUGAAUAUCCUGGAAUGCCUGUGUGAGUAGAUCCUUCCUCUGAACUGCCUUUGGCUUCACAGACCUCUGGUAAGAGGGAAGAUCUUGGAGGUCAAACAUCGAGAAAUAGGUGUAAGGAGAGGGAAUCUAUGGCUCUGCCACCAAGUUCUUUUGCCAUCUUGUACAGAACAUUUCUCAUAUCUGUGCCUACGUUUCCAAUCUGUAACGUAAAAAUAGCAGUACUUCAUCUCAGCCACGCGCUGCAGUCCUAAAAUACAAAAUCUUUCAUAGAAAGCCUGCUGAUUACCAGGUUAAUGUAGAGUCUUGCCCCAUAGGGCACUUUUCCUCCUACGUCUGUUUUCUCCUAUGUAUGGACUUUGCAGUGGUCAUCUGUAAGGUAAACUGUGAAAUCUCUGUGUUAUGUACAUUUGUGUCCAGCCUUGAAACGUUAUUUCGUUCCCUGAGGUGUGUGUGCUGCUGUAAGGCAAAUGAAGUAUCCCAAUCCCCUGUUAAUUACUCAUUAGGUGAGAUUUAAUGUGUGUAUAUGUGGGGCUGGCAGCCAGAAUUGGAUACACAGGGAUGGUCUGUGAGCCAAACUUCUAUCAGCUUUAAGGCAGGGGUGGUUGAGUAACUAGGGCAAAACGAACAAAAUAAAAUGGUAAGACCAUUAGCUCUUUGCCCCAAACUUAACCCAACACCUUUCCUUUUCAUCACAAGACCAAACUUGUAGUCCACAUCAGAAGGCUGGGAGACCUGGGGUAGAUUCACAUACGUGCACAGAACAAAUCACAGGUCUGGACUGAGCCAAAGCGUCACUUGGGACCCAAAUCCAGAUCUCACCUGUGACUGUUAGUUCUACCCGAACUUUGAUAUGGUAUUGAAAUUGG
This 1603-nucleotide long non-coding RNA is filed under the name Meleagris gallopavo (turkey). RNAcentral's name for it is "lncRNA (ENSMGAG00000022231.1)". The record is from RNAcentral. Lineage: Eukaryota; Metazoa; Chordata; Aves; Galliformes; Phasianidae.